GAUGAACGCUGGCGGCGUGCUUAACACAUGCAAGUCGAACGGGAAACAUUUUAUUGAAGCUUCGGCAGAUUUAGCUUGUUUCUAGUGGCGGACGGGUGAGUAACGCGUGGGUAACCUGCCUUAUACUGGGGGAUAACAGCCAGAAAUGACUGCUAAUACCGCAUAAGCGCACAGAACCGCAUGGUUCGGUGUGAAAAACUCCGGUGGUAUAAGAUGGACCCGCGUUGGAUUAGCUAGUUGGCAGGGCAGCGGCCUACCAAGGCGACGAUCCAUAGCCGGCCUGAGAGGGUGAACGGCCACAUUGGGACUGAGACACGGCCCAGACUCCUACGGGAGGCAGCAGUGGGGAAUAUUGCACAAUGGGGGAAACCCUGAUGCAGCGACGCCGCGUGAAGGAAGAAGUAUCUCGGUAUGUAAACUUCUAUCAGCAGGGAAGAUAAUGACGG
This 446-nucleotide ribosomal RNA is filed under the name uncultured bacterium. RNAcentral's name for it is "bacterial SSU rRNA". It matches the Rfam family "Bacterial small subunit ribosomal RNA", at positions 28 to 457 of the family's 1533-position model. The record is from RNAcentral.